CCCUUAGAUGUUCUGGGCUGCACGCGCGCUACACUGAUGCAUCCAACAAGUUUUCUCCCUUGUUCGGUAGGACUGGGUAAUCUUUUGAGUAUGCAUCGUGAUGGGGAUAGAUUAUUGCAAUUAUUAAUCUUCAACGAGGAAUUCCUAGUAAGCGCGAGUCAUCAGCUCGUGCUGAUUACGUCCCUGCCCUUUGUACACACCGCCCGUCGCUGCAACUGAUUGGGUGACCUGGUGAACAUCUUGGACCGGCUCACUCAAUUUCGAGAGGACUGGAAAAGGCCGUAAAUCAGGUACAUCUAGAAAUUGCAAAAGUCGUAACA
This 320-nucleotide ribosomal RNA is filed under the name uncultured eukaryote. Its description in RNAcentral is "partial 18S ribosomal RNA". It matches the Rfam family "Eukaryotic small subunit ribosomal RNA", at positions 1470 to 1796 of the family's 1831-position model. The record is from RNAcentral.